CGGGGGGGGCAAGCGUUGUUCGGAAUUACUGGGCGUAAAGGGCUCGUAGGUGGCCAACUAAGUCAGACGUGAAAUCCCUCGGCUUAACCGGGGAACUGCGUCUGAUACUGGAUGGCUAGAGAUUGGGAGAGGGAUGCGGAAUUCCAGGUGUAGCGGUGAAAUGCGUAGAUAUCUGGAGGAACACCGGUGGCGAAGGCGGCAUCCUGGACCAACACUGACGCUGAGGAGCGAAAGCCAGGGGAGCAAACGGGAUUAGAUACCCCGGUAGUCCUGGCCCUAAACGAUGAAUGCUUGGUGUGGCGGGUAUCGAUCCCUGCCGUGCCGAAGCUAACGCAUUAAGCAUUCCGCCUGGGGAGUACGGUCGCAAGGCUG
Molecule: ribosomal RNA, 372 nt
Filed under: uncultured organism
Description: bacterial SSU rRNA
Rfam family: Bacterial small subunit ribosomal RNA
Source: RNAcentral